This 845-nucleotide long non-coding RNA is filed under the name Mustela putorius furo (domestic ferret). RNAcentral describes it as "lncRNA (ENSMPUG00000029025.1)". The record is from RNAcentral. Lineage: Eukaryota; Metazoa; Chordata; Mammalia; Carnivora; Mustelidae.
ACCCACAGGCAAGGGGUGGGGGGGUGUCUGUCGGGGCAGCCAAUCACGCAGCCUGGUCAAGCGCAGGGAGAGAGUGGCAACUCACGCUUCCUUCGAUCUUUCCCAAAUGGCUUUUACCUGCCUUCGUGUUUUACCUUCACCUUUCUCGCGACGAGCGACCUCCACCUCUUCUGGGAGGGCGCGUGUGUUUGUGUGUGUAGUGACAACAAUCUCAGCACCCCGACUGGGGACAGGGGAUUGGAAGGGGUGGGGACUCCGUUCCUCCACAGCCCUGGAACUCUCCUGAAGGGCCCUCGAAAAAAAGGGGCGGGAGGAGCGCGUCUGACGCCGACUGAGGACUCGACCAAGAAGGGGGCGUCCGGGCCUGGGAGAGCGGCGCUGGCAGGGGCUGACGUGCAGCUCCUUCAGAGGGAUAGAGAGCACAAGUAGGCAGAAUGGCAGGCACAGGAGAGAAAGAGGGAUAAGAAGACUCUUCACCAAGCAGGGAGCCCAGCCACAGCUCAAUGCCAGGACUCUGGGAUCGUGACCCAAGCCGAAGGCAGACCCUUAACUGACUGAGCCACCCAGGCACCCCUUUGUUAAAGUUUUUAACAUAUAUUGUCAAAUGUCUUGUUUGAAAGGUGGUGGCAGUUUUUGUCACCUCUACCAGUAUAUAUGAAUGUCUAUUUCACUGCACCCUCAUCAAAUAUAUGUGUUACAACUGACAAAAUCAUUAAUGAGUUUUUUUUAAAGGUCUUUGUUUGUAAGAGACACGUGGAACUUUUCACUUUUUUAACUAGCAAUUCUGGCUGGUAUAAUAUUAACAUUGAGUAUUAAUUUAAGAACAAAUAAAAGGAACUUAUUCA